UGUGGGAGCGAGCUUGCUCGCGAUAGCGGUGGGUCUGUUUGCAUCGGUGGUGAAUGUGCAAUCGUCAUCGCGAGCAAGCUCGCUCCCACA
This 90-nucleotide unclassified non-coding RNA is filed under the name Pseudomonas sp. NFACC56-3. Lineage: Bacteria; Pseudomonadati; Pseudomonadota; Gammaproteobacteria; Pseudomonadales; Pseudomonadaceae. The record is from RNAcentral.